UACCGGCGGCCCGAGUGGCGGUCCCUAUUAUUGGGCUUAAAGCGUCCGUAGCCGGGUUGGGAAGUCCUCCGGGAAAUCUGGCCGCUUAACGGUCAGAAUGCCGGAGGAUACUCCCAGCCUAGGGAGCGGGAGAGGCCGAGGGUAUUCCCGGAGUAGGGGUGAAAUCCUAUAAUCCCGGGAGGACCACCUGUGGCGAAGGCGCUCGGCUGGAACGCGUCCGACGGUGAGGGACGAAGGCCAGGGGAGCAAACCGG
Molecule: ribosomal RNA, 254 nt
Filed under: uncultured microorganism
Description: partial 16S ribosomal RNA
Rfam family: Archaeal small subunit ribosomal RNA
Source: RNAcentral